UGGGGAAUAUUGCACAAUGGGCGAAAGCCUGAUGCAGCAACGCCGCGUGAGCGAUGAAGGCCUUCGGGUCGUAACGCUCUGUCCUCAAGGAAGAUAAUGACGGUACCUAAGGAGGAAGCCACGGCUAACUACGUGCCAGCAGCCGCGGUAAUACGUAGGUGGCAAGCGUUGUCCGGAUUUACUGGGCGUAAAGGGAGCGUAGGUGGAUAUUUAAGUGGGAUGUGAAAUACCCGGGCUUAACCUGGGUGCUGCAUUCCAAACUGGAUAUCUAGAGUGCAGGAGAGGAAAGGAGAAUUCCUAGUGUAGCGGUGAAAUGCGUAGAGAUUAGGAAGAAUACCAGUGGCGAAGGCGCCUUUCUGGACUGUAACUGACACUGAGGCUCGAAAGCGUGGGGAGCAAACAGG
This 404-nucleotide ribosomal RNA is filed under the name uncultured prokaryote. Its description in RNAcentral is "bacterial SSU rRNA". It matches the Rfam family "Bacterial small subunit ribosomal RNA", at positions 355 to 776 of the family's 1533-position model. RNAcentral also lists the same sequence under 1 other name. The record is from RNAcentral.